Molecule: transfer RNA, 74 nt
Filed under: Candidatus Taenariivivens baikalensis
Lineage: Bacteria; Pseudomonadati; Candidatus Omnitrophota
Description: tRNA-Gly
Rfam family: tRNA
About the family: Transfer RNA (tRNA) molecules are approximately 80 nucleotides in length. Their secondary structure includes four short double-helical elements and three loops (D, anti-codon, and T loops). Further hydrogen bonds mediate the characteristic L-shaped molecular structure. tRNAs have two regions of fundamental functional importance: the anti-codon, which is responsible for specific mRNA codon recognition, and the 3' end, to which the tRNAs corresponding amino acid is attached (by aminoacyl-tRNA synthetases). tRNAs cope with the degeneracy of the genetic code in two manners: having more than one tRNA (with a specific anti-codon) for a particular amino acid; and 'wobble' base-pairing, i.e. permitting non-standard base-pairing at the 3rd anti-codon position.
Source: RNAcentral
GCGAGUGUAGCAUAGUGGUAAUGCGCUGCCUUGCCAAGGCAGUUAGGAGGGUUCGAUUCCCUCCACUCGCUCCA